GGAUGUGAGGGCGAUCUGGCUGUGACAUCUAUCACUGCAUUGAUCACCAGCGUUGAUUCGGCUGAUCUGGCCAACUAGGCAAGUGUCCCCUUCUUCCCUCACCGCUCCAUGUGUAUGCCUCCUGAAGUUGGAUCUUGGUCCAAGAGGACAACCUUCCCUGAUAAAGGAGAACCAUUCUUCAGUCAAGGGUAUAUGAGUAGCUGCUCUCCCUUACUAGAACCUCCAAACAAGCUCUCAAGGCCCAUUUGUAGGAAAACGUAGGGUAGUCAAGCUUCCAAGACUCCAGAUACAUCCAAAUGAUGCACUGACUGUGGCAGUCUGUGUUUCUUA
Unclassified non-coding RNA from Ursus maritimus (polar bear), 330 nucleotides. Its record names the gene 7SK. It matches the Rfam family "7SK RNA". Rfam says of the family: 7SK was discovered as an abundant small nuclear RNA in the mid-70s but a possible function has only recently been suggested. The record is from Ensembl. Lineage: Eukaryota; Metazoa; Chordata; Mammalia; Carnivora; Ursidae.